This 253-nucleotide ribosomal RNA is filed under the name uncultured bacterium. RNAcentral describes it as "partial 16S ribosomal RNA". It matches the Rfam family "Bacterial small subunit ribosomal RNA", at positions 524 to 776 of the family's 1533-position model. The record is from RNAcentral.
UACGGAGGGUGCUAGCGUUGUUCGGAAUCACUGGGCGUAAAGGGCGUGUAGGCGGUCUGUUAAGUCUGAUGUGAAAUCCCCUCGCUCAACGAGGGAACUGCGUCGGAUACUGGCAGACUCGAGUACCGGAGAGGAAGGUGGAAUUCCCGGUGUAGCGGUGAAAUGCGUAGAGAUCGGCAGGAACACCCAGGGGGAAACCAGUGGACUGGCACGGUGCUGACGCUCAGGUGCGAAAGCGUGGGGAGCGAACCGG